AGCGAACGCUGGCGGCAGGCUUAACACAUGCAAGUCGAGCGGGCACUUCGGUGUCAGCGGCAGACGGGUGAGUAACACGUGGGAACGUACCCUUUGGUUCGGAAUAACGCUGGGAAACUAGCGCUAAUACCGGAUACGCCCUUUUGGGGAAAGGCUUGCUGCCGAAGGAUCGGCCCGCGUCUGAUUAGCUAGUUGGUGGGGUAAUGGCCUACCAAGGCGACGAUCAGUAGCUGGUCUGAGAGGAUGCUCAGCCACACUGGGACUGAGACACGGCCCAGACUCCUACGGGAGGCAGCAGAGGGGAAUAUUGGACAAUGGGCGCAAGCCUGAUCCAGCCAUGCCGCGUGAGUGAUGAAGGGCUUAGGGUUGUAAAGCUCUUUUGUCCGGGACGAUAAUGACGGUACCGGAAGAAUAAGCCCCGGCUAACUUCGUG
This 433-nucleotide ribosomal RNA is filed under the name uncultured bacterium. Its description in RNAcentral is "partial 16S ribosomal RNA". It matches the Rfam family "Bacterial small subunit ribosomal RNA", at positions 29 to 507 of the family's 1533-position model. The record is from RNAcentral.